GCAGUCGAUGAAGGUCGCAGCUAUAAAGCCAUAGAAAUAUAUUGGUACACAUUAUCUCUAUGCAGCUAGCUGGUCCGUGCUUGUGCUUACCAGAACGCGGAAGUGACUUUCACAUUGAACAAUGAUAGGCCAAUCAAUCAAUCGGGGAGUAGGAUGACGUCAUGCCGCGCCAGUUUGUGGUGGUACGUGUGUCGUUUUGUAUUCGUUGUUUGUUUAUUUCGCAAUAAUCGUUGGGGCGACGAAACUGGUACUGGUAUAUAGACUAUAUAUAGGGCGUAUACGACGGUUUAUACACGGCAAAGCGCAUUCACAGCUAGCUAGCCAGCGCCACCAUUAGUCACGAGUUUGAUGGAGGAGAAGCAACGCUACUCACUGCACUAGCUCUCUCAACCAGAUUUUGCUACUAGUUUUAUCACUCGUUAACAAGCUACGGUACCGGUACAGCAUUUAACUUAAACGUCAGACCGCUCUUUUAUUUACCGUUAAUUUUAGCAGGGUUAGAAAAUAGACUGCAAAAGUUAGAUUCCAACGCCAACGUUUUAGAAUCUACCCAACAAUUUCAAAAAUUGUUCAGCUUCAUGAAAUACAGCAACUAUUUCUCGGUGAUGAUGGAAGUUUUGCCCGCAGAAACAGAUGUUCCCAACAGUGCCAGUAUUCCUUUCUCACCGUGGAUGAUGGAGAACCAAGUUAAAGUUUUGAAAAAUGAUAUAAAAUUGAAGAAGCGUUUCAGGGGGAAACGCAAACCAAAGAGGAAGGAGAAUCGUCGGAGAGCAAGACCAGGAAAGUCACGAAGUGGUUUUCUGACAAUUGGUGCACCUUUCAACAAUAAUGAAUUUUUAAUUAACCAGAGAGAUGCCACAUUAGCAACCACCAGUCUGGGCUCAGAAGAAGGUCUCGUGGCCAAGAAUUGUGGACAAUGCUCUUCUCCACAUAGCACAAGUAGUAGUGGGGGUUCCGAAAGUACGUCCGACUAUGAAAGCCUUCAUUCACCUUCUGCAUCUAGUAGCAGCAGCGGAUGUAGCAUUGAAGCCGAAUAUCCCCAAGAUGACAAGAUAAAUGAUGAAAUGUUUGACAUUGAUUUUGCCCUGCAGAACUUUGAAGCUGAUUACUCCGCUCAUCAAUGGGAGCUGAAAACACAGUUGAUGACACUGCCAAGACAGCAGCUGGAAAGCAGAUGUUCACUUCUGAUGGACCAAGUGAAAGAUUUAGAAGAGAGGAUCGAAAAGAGGGAGGUAGUGCAUGUCCAGGAAUUGGAACUUGAAUUAGAAGCUCUGAGGAAGGAGAACAGAAGAUUAAAAAGGGUAUCUGCAGACAGUUCAACACCAGAAUGAAACAUCACAAGAGUGAUUUCAACAAGGAGGAAACAAUCCAGUCAAGAUUGGGAUUGAUGUGUGGCCUUUGAGUCUGACGCUCCUUUGGUUACAUCGUUGAGUGGAUGCAUGACGAUCAUCCAAGUUAACCCUGAAGUUUUCGACUGCACGCACCAACAUGACAUUAUUAAAAGGAAUUUCAGAGGUAAGGAGAUUACCAUCAAGGACACCAAAUAGCAGACGGGAUCGAUACCGCAUCAACAGCUCCUCAACAAUUUGCUCUCACCAAGAUCAUGGCCUGCAGAGAGUGAGUGACAUCACACCACUGAAGUUGGGCAACACUCUGGGAUGGUAUCAUGGUAUAAUUGCAUGUUCUUUUUAUGCCAUUUAUCCCAUUUCCCUUACACUCUAAAAAACAAAGAGUUUAAUUUAGCUCUUAAAGAGCGUGUAUAGUGACUGCACUUCGGAGUAAUGAUUUGUCUAGUUCAAAUUUGAACGAGAAAAAUCAGCACUCCGAAGUGCAGUCACUAUACACGCUCUUUAAGGGCUAAAUUGGCUCUUCGUAGCACUUCAUUUGUUAGAGUGUAGGGUUUUGUUUAAAAUUAAGUAAAUCAUGAUUGGCAUUGCCUUGGGAAACCAUAGGAUCAACGGAGGCAUAUCCCUACAUGUAUUUCAUAAUAUUAAUCUGAUUGUAUUUUUUUUUUUUGCAUGGAUACUGUCAGUCUCAAAUUAAUACUCUUUAUGGCUAAAACCACAGGAAAUCCAUCCCAAUCCCGGAAUGCUAACAACUAAUUUAAUAAAAUGGUGUUCAUUGUCCUGUUACUGUAAGAAGUAAUUAGAAAGGGUUUAUUUAGUUGAAUUCCUGAUUAAUGUUCAAACAAUAUUAUUGGAUGUCAUUUUUUUAAUCAAGUUUUAAUCAAAGUGUUCAUUGUCCUGUUACUGUAAGAAGUAAUUAGAAAGGGUUUAUUUAGUUGAAUUCCUGAUUAAUGUUCAAACAAUAUUAUUGGAUGUCAUUUUUUUUAUCAAGUACAACAAGAUGAAAUAAACUAUGGCAGAAUCUCUGAACAAGUGUAUGUCCAUAUGUUUCUUUUCAUUAUAUUUUUUUAAAUGUUCAUACAGGUGUAGUCCCUGAAAAAAAUGUAUACUAAAUUUUUCCUGUCCAUAUGUUAUUUUCCAAAAAAUGUUUAUUAGUAUUCCCUGAAUAAUUCAAUAUCCACAUGUUCCUAUUUAUUAUGUUAUUUAAAUUUUUUCAUUGAUAAAUUGUUGAGAUAUUAAAACGUAUUAAAUAAUAA
Lytechinus pictus (painted urchin) is the source of this 2602-nucleotide long non-coding RNA. RefSeq lists it as uncharacterized. The transcript has 3 exons. NCBI's taxonomy places the organism in Eukaryota, Metazoa, Echinodermata, Echinoidea, Temnopleuroida, Toxopneustidae. The record is from RefSeq and is a predicted model, not a curated record.